CAAGACGUAGCUUAUUCAAUCUAAAGCAUUCAGCUUACACCUGAAAGAUGCCCUUUAAAUGGACCGCCUUGA
This 72-nucleotide transfer RNA is filed under the name Excalfactoria chinensis (blue-breasted quail). Its description in RNAcentral is "Coturnix chinensis tRNA-Val". It matches the Rfam family "tRNA". Rfam says of the family: Transfer RNA (tRNA) molecules are approximately 80 nucleotides in length. Their secondary structure includes four short double-helical elements and three loops (D, anti-codon, and T loops). Lineage: Eukaryota; Metazoa; Chordata; Aves; Galliformes; Phasianidae. The record is from RNAcentral.